AGGAGUUGAGACUAAGGAGAUGAGUUGAAGCUUGGGAAGGUUUGGGUAAGGUCCGUACAAGUCCGUACAGUCCGUACAUGACCGUACACAUGAAGAUGGGUGAAACCUUGACAAGGGUAAAGAAGUUACUUGCGGUAACUUAGGUGAAGGGAAGGAACUUACCUUGAUGCAUCAGACCGUUUAGGGAUAAGGUAGAGCGCGCCUUGACAGGCUGGAACAGCUGGAAAGGCAAGAGCAUCUCGGUCCAAGAUGCUAGAUGCUCCGCGCAUGUGGAGAAGCUAAUUGGCUAGUCCAAAUGAGCUUAUCCUCUCCUGAUUGACCUCACAUGCUUUAGUCUUCUCUGGAUUUCGAAAACCCUUGUAUGCUCACACUAUAUAUUGUAACUCAUGUCCUUAAUGAAAGAUUAGACAGUUCUAAACAAUCUUUCUCUUUACUCAUUUCACUAUGAUUCUCCAUUAGUCUCUAAGUAGUCUCUUAAUCUCUUAUUCUCCUUCUCUAAUCCUUUCUAAACUCAGAUAAUCAUUUACAUUCCUAAAAGUCAUAAUCCAUUCAUUUAAAUUCAAGUUAUAACAGCCCUUAGAUUUAGGUUUAUGAUUGCAAGUUGUAAAGAGCAUAUAUAAGCUCAUAAGUGAUGUUUUGUAACUCUUAAGUGAGUAAGGGGGUUUCCCUUCUCCUUCUCUAAUCUGAAACACU
RNAcentral lists this long non-coding RNA (693 nucleotides) under Brassica napus (rape). RNAcentral describes it as "long non-coding RNA (BNAP_LNC001647)". Lineage: Eukaryota; Viridiplantae; Streptophyta; Magnoliopsida; Brassicales; Brassicaceae. The record is from RNAcentral.